This 917-nucleotide ribosomal RNA is filed under the name uncultured bacterium. RNAcentral describes it as "bacterial SSU rRNA". It matches the Rfam family "Bacterial small subunit ribosomal RNA", at positions 8 to 916 of the family's 1533-position model. The record is from RNAcentral.
AGAGUUUGAUCAUGGCUCAGAACGAACGCNGGCGGCGCGUUUUAAGCAUGCAAGUCGAACNGUAGUAUGGCUUCGGCCAUAUGAGAGUGGCGAACGGGUGAGUAACACGUAGAUGAUCUGCCCUUGAGUUGGGGAUAGCCCAUGGAAACAUGGAGUAAUACCGAAUACGUUGUGUUUGCUAUGGCAGACUCAGGAAAAGCGCUUCGGCGCUGCUCGAGGAUGANUCUGCGGCUGAUUAGCUAGUUGGUGGGGUAAGAGCUCACCAAGGCGACGAUCAGUAGCCGGCCUGAGAGGGUGAACGGCCACACUGGGACUGAGAUACGGCCCAGACUCCUACGGGAGGCAGCAGCUAAGAAUCUUCCGCAAUGGACGAAAGUCUGACGGAGCGACGCCGCGUGGGUGAUGAAGGCCGGAAGGUUGUAAAGCCCUUUUCUGACUGAGGAAUAAGCCUGGGAGGCAAUGCCCGGGUGAUGACGGUAAGUCAGGAAUAAGCCCCGGCCAAUUACGUGCCAGCAGCCGCGGUAACACGUAUGGGGCGAGCGUUGUUCGGAAUCAUUGGGCGUAAAGGGCGCGCAGGCGGUUAUACAAGCCUGGUGUGAAAGACCGCAGCUCAACUGCGGGAGCGCGCUGGGAACUGUAUGACUGGAGUUCAAGAGGGGAAGCUGGAAUUCCUGGUGUAGGGGUGAAAUCUGUAGAUAUCAGGAAGAACAUCAGUGGCGAAGGCGAGCUUCUGGCUAUGAACUGACGCUGAGGCGCGAAAGCGUGGGGAGCAAACAGGAUUAGAUACCCUGGUAGUCCACGCUGUAAACGAUGUGCACUAGGUGUUGGGCCGAUGAAGGCUCAGUGCCGUAGCUAACGCGUUAAGUGCACCGCCUGGGGAGUAUGCUCGCAAGGGUGAAACUCAAAUGAAUUGACGG